This 5160-nucleotide long non-coding RNA is filed under the name Astyanax mexicanus (Mexican tetra). Its description in RNAcentral is "lncRNA (ENSAMXG00005025272.1)". The record is from RNAcentral. Lineage: Eukaryota; Metazoa; Chordata; Actinopteri; Characiformes; Acestrorhamphidae.
UUCUGUACCAAGUAACACUCAACAGACAUUACCAGAGACAACUUCAGAAUUCUUGAUUAGUACUGCAUCUCAGUCACAAACAACAUUACAGGAGACAACCUCUGAGUCUGAAUCAACUUCUGGGUUAACGACAGGUCAGGAACAAACAACAGAACCUGAAACGACUGCAAUAUCAACUACGACACUGCCACCAGCAACAUUACUUCAGACAACAUCUGAGAUUUUUACAACUUCUGUACCAAGUAACACUCAACAGACAUUACCAGAGACAACUUCAGAAUUCUUGAUUAGUUCUACAUCUCAGUCACAAACAACAUCACAGGAGACAACGUCUGAGUUUCAAUCAACUUCUGGGUUAAUGACAGGUCAGGCACCAACAACAGAACCUGAAACAAAUGCUGUAACUACUACCACACUAUCAUCAGCAACAUUACUUCAGACAACAUCUGAGAUUUUUACAACUUCUGUACCAAGUAACACUCAACAGACAUUACCAGAGACAACUUCAGAAUUCUUGAUUAGUUCUACAUCUCAGUCACAAACAACAUCACAGGAGACAACGUCUGAGUUUCAAUCAACUUCUGGGUUAACGACAGGUCAGGCACCUACAACAGAACCUGAAACAAAUGCUGUAACUACUACCACACUAUCAUCAGCAACAUUACUUCAGACAACAUCUGAGAUUUUUACAACUUCUGUACCAAGUAACACUCAAGAAACAUUACCCGAGACAACUUCAGAAUUCUUGAUUAGUUCUACAUCUCAGUCACAAACAACAUCACAGGAGACAACGUCUGAGUUUCAAUCAACUUCUGGGUUAAUGACAGGUCAGGCACCAACAACAGAACCUGAAACAAAUGCUGUAACUACUACCACACUAUCACCAGCAACAUUGCUUGAGACAACAUCUGUGAUUUUCCCAACUUCUGUACCAAGUACCACUCAAGAAACAUUACCUGAGACAACGUCUGAAUUCCUGACACGUACUACAUCUCAGUCACAAACAACAUUACAGGAGACAACGUCCGACUUUGAUUCAACUUCUGGGUUAACGACAGGUCAGGCACUAACAACAGAAAUUGAAACAACUGCUGUUCCAACUACGACAUUGCCACCAGCAACAUUACUUCAGACAUCUGAGAUUUUUACAACUUCUGUACCAAGUUACACUCAAGAAACAUUACCCGAGACAACUUCAGAAUUCUUGAUUAAUUCUACAUCCCAGUCACAAACAAAAUUACAGGAGACAACCUCUGAGUUGGAAUCAAGCUCAGUGUUAACGACAGGUCAGGCACCAACGACAGAACCUGAAACAACUGCUGUACCUUCUACCACACUGUCACCAACAACACUGCUUGAGACAAAAUCUGAGAUUCUCACAACUUCUGUACCAAAUAGCACUCAUGAAACAUUACCUGAGACAACUUCUGAAUUCCUGACAAGUACUGCAUCUCAGUCACAAACAAAAUUACAGGAGACAACGUCUGAGUUUCAAUCAACUUCUGGGUUAACGACAGGUCAGGCAGCAACAACAGUACCUGAAACAACUGCUGUAACUACUACCACACUAUCACCAGCAACAUUGCUUGAGUCAACAUCUGAGAUUUUCCCAACUUCUGUACCAAGUAUCACUCAAGAAACAUUACCUGAGACAACUUCUGAAUUUUUGACUCGUACUACAUCUCAGUUACAAACAAUAUUACAGGAGACAACUUCUGAGUUUAAAUCAACUUCUGUGUUAACAACAGAUCAGGCACCAACAACAGUACCUGAGACAACUGCUGUACCAACUACAACAAUGUAUCCAACAUCACUGCCUGAAGCAACCGCUGAGGUUUUCACAACUUUAAUAUCAACUAUCACUAAGGCACCAACAUUACCUGACACAACUUCUGAAUCCCUAACAAACAGUAUAUCUCAGUCACCAACAACAUUACCGAAAGCAACACCUGAUAUCAUCACAAGCCCUGUGUCUAUUACAGGUCAGGCACAAGCAACAGUAUUUGAGACAACUUCUGCACCAACUUCCGUUCCAGAACAGAAUAGACAGGAUUUGAUCACAGGGUCUGCAACAACUACAUCUUACACACCAAAUAAAUUACAUGAGACAACUUUUGAGUUUUUUACAAGUUCUGUACCAACUACAACUCAGUCACCAACAACAAUAUCUGAGACAACACUGCCAAACACAACAACUGAGCAAUCAUCAAUUAGCACCAUCCAAAUAAUAUCUACUGUACAAGUAGCAGAUCAGCCAACAUUCUCUUCUGCAGGUAAUCCUAUAGCAACUAUAGACAAGUCAACUUCUCUUCCAUUAACAAGCACUAAUGGAACACUAGCAAACUUUGCAUCAACUGAAAUACCAACAACACUUUCUGUUUAUGUCCCAACCACAAAUGAACAAGAAUCACCAACCGCAGCUGAGUCUCUCACAAGUCCUGCACCAACCAAAGCAAUUGGGACCAUUAAAAGAACAUCUGAACAAGUAACAAAUCAACAAAUAGACACCUCUACAGAUACAUCUACAAUAGCUCAGUACCAUUCAAAUUCUCUUGCAUCCACAUUUACAUCUGAAAUCCUCACGCUUUCUUUCCCAGCUGAAUCACCACCAACACAUGCGUCAACACAAAAAUACACAACAAUGAUACAGUCUUCAACAGGUUCAGUUUUUGUCACAGCAACAAAUGAGCAAGAAAAAACUUCUCUUCCUCCAGUAACCACAACUGGGAUCUUCACAAGUCCCGUCCCAACCUCUGCUCAGUCACCAGCAGCAACAAUACUGAAGGCAACUUUGCCAGAAACAAUGGUAACUCAAUCACAGUCAGCUUCUCCUCCAUCAGGAAUCACUGUUGUAUCUCAAAAAAGUGCUGUAACAACUGAAUUGCCAGCCACAACACACAAUGAAGACACUUCACAGUCAUUAAUUACUUCCGUCCAUGUGCCAAUGACAAAUGUGCAAGAAUCAACUUUGUUUCCAUCAACAACCACAACUGUGUUCCUCACAAUUCCUGUGCAAUUAAGUACUGCUCAGUCACCAUCAACAACUCCUGAGGCAAAUAUGCCAGACACAACAACUUUGCCAAACACAAUGGUAACUCAAUCCCAGUCAACCUCUCUUCCAUCAACAAACACUGCGGAAUCCCUAAAAACUGAGGCAACUGAUUUACCAGCAACAACACAGGAAACAACGCAGGAGGAAACAAUGAUGCAGUCAUUAACUAAUUCAGUCAAUGUACCAACAACAAAACAAAUUUCGCUUCCUGGAAUAAGUACAGAUGGUUUUCUUACAAAUCCUGUAACAAUUGCCCCACAGUCACCAGAAACGAUACCUAUAACAACAUCUAAAUUACUCAAAAGCUCUUUUCAAUCUACAACUCAGUCACCAGGAACAUUACUUGAGACAAUGGUGUCAGCUACAGAUACAGCUAUUCACACAAACACUCCAUCUGAUGUCCCUACAUUUAUGCAACAAUUAACAUCCGUUCCAGGAACAAAUGUUCCUGAAACCCUGAACAAAACAUCGUCUACAGUACAAUUAACAACUACUAAAAAAAUCACUUCAGCUGCUUUCCCAACAACUAUGCAACAAUCAUCAAGUGCUUCUGAAUUUGUCUCACAAUCAACUGCAAUGGAUAUUACACUGCAAAAUUCAACCACAGGAAACAUUCUGAUAAGUACAGAUGAAAUUCUAACAACUACACAACAAUUAACAACUCCUCUAACCUUAUUUGAGACUACAGUCCCUGAAACAACAACAGUGCACUCAGUCAUAAGCAAGACAGAUGUUUCAGCAUCAUCCACACAAUCAUUUACAUCUCUUAAUACAGUCAUCUCAAAUAACCCUCAAACAAUGACUAAACAACAAUCAACUACAGGAACAACAACUGUACCUGAAUCCACUACAAGUUUUGUAAGCAGUAUCGCUAAAACUCUAAUUGUGUCAACUGUGGAACAAUCAGUGCCAACAGAUAGCCCAACCACAACAGCAACAACAAUAUAUGGGACGACAGCAACUACAGCAUCUACAGUACAAGUAACAGCAACUCAUACAAACACUUCAACUGAUGUCUCUACAACUAUGAAACACUCAAUUUCCGUUUCAGGAGCAAGCACAACAAAAAGCACAAAUGCAAACCCAACAAGCACAUUUGUGACUACAGUGCCUGAAACGACAACAGUAUUUUCCAGAACAACAACUGUAGCUGAAUCAUCUACAGCACCAGCACUGUCUACCAGUGCCUCAACAUCACCAUUACCUGCUUCCACCAAUACAAGAACUACAACUACAUUCCCAACAUAUACAGGGUCUUCACCUACAACCACAGUAUUUCGCACUUUGUUUCCAUCAUUAAGUACACAACAGUCACUGACUAAUACAACCCAGACAUCUACAGACCUAGCAACUACAACAACCACCACAAGUCAAGCUUCAUCGACAACACUGAAGCAACUGAUCACUACUGCAAUGUUAAGAACUACUAUUAAAGCCACCAUAAAUCCACUGACCACAGCUACUGACACAACAGUUACUGCUCCAACUACCACUGUGUCUACUAAUCCACCAACAGAAAAAGAAGGAUACCUUUAUCUACAAUUCAGGAUGGUCCGAUUCUUUAUACCAGCAUAUGCCGAUCCAACGUCAAAUGAAUAUCAGAUGCUGACAACAAAUGUGACAACUGAGCUGAACAGAGGAUACAAAUUGAUGUUCCCUCUGAUUUACCAACGAAGCAGAAUCAUCAGCUUUUGGUCGGGCUCUGUUGGUGUAACGACUCAGCUGAUCUUUGUCAACCAGUCAGUGGUGCCCAACCUGACAGUAACAGAGGAUUCCCUAAAGACAGCUGUAAAUGACUCCAUUGUCUUCUUAGAUAUCAUUCCAUCCAGUAUAAGGGCAGAACAGCCAAAUGUCACAGCAACAACCAUCAGUUCUGGAACAACAAACAUUACAACAACUACCACAACUACCACAACUACUACAACCACGAUGAAACAAACCACAAGAGCACCGACUAGUCAAACAUCUGCCCAGACUACGUCCAACAGUGCAACGGCAAGAAACCGACCCAAAGAUGUGGUCACACUUCUUCUCCCUCUCAUCCUCAUCUACUUCCUUCUAACAGAGCCAAGAGUAUAACACAAAUAAAUGCAUCUCUAAAUAAAACA